This is a long non-coding RNA of Mastomys coucha (southern multimammate mouse), 695 nucleotides long. RefSeq lists it as uncharacterized. The record is from RefSeq and is a predicted model, not a curated record. NCBI's taxonomy places the organism in Eukaryota, Metazoa, Chordata, Mammalia, Rodentia, Muridae. The transcript has 2 exons.
UCAUGAGGGUGGAGCCCCAUGAAGGGCUUAGUGUCUUUAUAAGAUUCCUUCAGAGAGUUUCUUCCUCCACUAACAAUGUGAAGACAUAAUGAAAAGAAGACUGAAACAGGACGCCAGCCCUCACCAAGCCGCAGUGAAAAGACAAACAAGAGAGUCACGAUGGAUGUCACAAACUCCUGAUUGACACUGGAGAAUGACAGAAGUGGAGAGUCACGAUGGAUGUCACAGACUCCUGAUUGACACUGGAGAAUGACAGAAGUGGAGAGUCACGAUGGAUGUCACAGACUCCUGAUUGACAUUGGUGAAUAACAGAAAUGGAGACGCUUCUCUGCUAAUGGAGCCUAAGCCCCAGGAAAGUGUAGCUGAUGCCCAGAGAGAGUGGCCCUUGCACAGGACAUAUGGUAUAAAUAACCCAUUGACCAAGAUGGACUUCCUCUUAGAUCAGUCUUCUGAUACUGGCACUGAGAUAGGUCCCAGGGGGUAAGUUAGUUAGGAUACAUUGACAUCCCUGUAGUCUGUCUUCAGCACUUUGAUGGCCUGUUGGGGGCUGGCUGCUCAAUGCUCAGAGUUGGCCUCUCAUGAGUGUGUGACGGGUGCUGACUUCCACCUUCCACUGCUUGCCCAGUCCACUGAACAGACACUCAGUAAAUGCUUGUGGCAGGAAUGAAUAAAUGGCCUCAGCCACGCAUCCAAAA